CACAGGCGGUGGAGUAUGUGGUUUAAUUCGAUGCAACGCGAAGAACCUUACCUGGUCUUGACAUCCCGGAGACCCUUAGGAAACUAGGGGGUGCUUCCAUCUGGAAGAAUCUGGAGACAGGUGCUGCAUGGCUGUCGUCAGCUCGUGUCGUGAGAUGUUGGGUUAAGUCCCGCAACGAGCGCAACCCUUGCCUUUAGUUGCCAGCAGUUCGGCUGGGCACUCUAAAGGGACUGCCGGUGUUAAACCGGAGGAAGGUGGGGAUGACGUCAAGUCCUCAUGGCCUUUAUGACCAGGGCUACACACGUACUACAAUGGCCGAUACAAAGGGCAGCGACACUGCGAGGUGAAGCCAAUCCCGUAAAAUCGGUCUCAGUCCGGAUUGGAGUCUGCAACUCGACUCCAUGAAGUUGGAAUCGCUAGUAAUCGUGGAUCAGCAUGCCACGGUGAAUACGUUCCCGGGCCUU
This 464-nucleotide ribosomal RNA is filed under the name uncultured Desulfobulbus sp. RNAcentral describes it as "bacterial SSU rRNA". It matches the Rfam family "Bacterial small subunit ribosomal RNA", at positions 924 to 1382 of the family's 1533-position model. The record is from RNAcentral. Lineage: Bacteria; Pseudomonadati; Thermodesulfobacteriota; Desulfobulbia; Desulfobulbales; Desulfobulbaceae.